AUUAUUUACAUUUCGAGUGGGAACAUAAAUAUCUUUAGAAAUAGACAAAACAAUAUGCCCCUUUUUAUUGUUCAGUCUAACUCACCUUCAUAAAAGUCAACGCAUUGAAAUAUCAAUCAAUCCAGCAAUUGCUUUUUGUUAUGUGCUGCAGUAUGGAUCCUCAGGGACUCCAGACCGUGUGAGCAACUAACAGGAAACAACACCAGAUGUGCUGUAUCAGCCAUUGAUUUUCGUCCCUGAUGAAUUCAGUAAAAGCAGUUUGAAAGCUCCUGCCUUAAAAACUCUGAAGCAGCCUGGGGUUUGGAUGUGGAUCAGGGAGUCACAACCACGCUGUAAAGCCAAACAGCUAACCUGCGACACUGCUGGGCACAGACUGAGCUGAAGUCACCGAGUAUACCAGCAGCUGCAGAUCCCACUGAGCAGCGCUGACGGGAUGGGAUGGAGCCCAGGCCACCUGCUGGCCUGAGAUGCAAGGUUCCCUCUGGCUGCCGACUCCAAGAUCCCUUGCCACCUGUGCUCCUGCCGCCGUUCUCCGCCAUCUGAUAAGCACUCUCUGGGCCCUGACACUGACCUGAACUGGACCUGGGUUAAGCCCAAGUCACCCCGUCCUUCUGGGAAGGCUCUGUGGAGUCUCCCACAUUUCUCUCCAGCUGCCUUCACCUCUCCCUUGCUCCGUGGUCUUGAGGGCUCAGCCUUCCAGCCCCCAUUCAUUAAAGUUCAUGAUUUUCAAUCACAAAGAAAUGGCUACUUUACCAGAAAAAGCAGUCAGUUUGCUUAGGUAUUUUUCCAGAGACAAAAUGGAAGUUAAAUGAAAGGAAUAAAGUAUCGCAUUCCACCUAAGCCAGUGGGUAGCUUUACUUGAAAAACUGCCCGAAUGUCCCUGUUUUGUCGUUGAGUGAACAGAGGAGCGGAUGUGAGCAUUUUUCAGCAGAGAUGUGCUGCUUUGCAGGGAACAGGCAAUAUGGACGCAUGUAAAAUUCUUGCUUGAGGAUUAAGAGUCCAAAUGUGUUUUAAGAACUGGCUAUGCAAAAUCUCAGAUAUAACUGAUAAACUGUUGUAAUCUGGUUGGCAUAUGGUCCUGCCUGUACCACACUUUUUCUUUCCCUAAAACACAAUUUGGCUUUCUACUUGUUGAACAAACAGAUAUGGCAAAUAAAAGAGGACAGCAACCUCUGCCUCCAGCAUUCAAGUGAUUCUCUUGCCUCAGCCUCCCGAGUAGCUGGGAUUACAGGCAUGCGCCACCUCACCCAGCCUUAUGAAGUGAUUUUUACAUAUGACAUUAGAGAUAUCAAAGGGGAGUGUCUUAUGGUAAAAAAGCUCUACACGUUUUUAAAAACAUGAUUCCACUGGUAUACAUUUUUCCAAUAAAACUCCAAAAUUGAUCCUAUCCUAAGUAUAAUCUUAUCCUUC
RNAcentral lists this long non-coding RNA (1410 nucleotides) under Pan troglodytes (chimpanzee). Its description in RNAcentral is "lncRNA (ENSPTRG00000054200.1)". The record is from RNAcentral. Lineage: Eukaryota; Metazoa; Chordata; Mammalia; Primates; Hominidae.